UAAACUGGAAUAGUAGCACGUGUGUCUAAUAUUGUACAGUAUGUGCAAGUGGGAAUACGGAAAGAGUAAAAAUAUACUUAUAUAUACACUAUAAUAUACUAUUACGUAUCUUCAGAUACCCAAAAUCACAACCGUUUUUUUAAAUACUCCACAGCAACCACGCUGUCAAUGCGUAGACCAGCACAUUCCACUGAGAAGCCUGAUGUGCGAGUCACCACGCUACAAUUUUAACCCGUAAGCAUCCAUAACCCUGUCAAUGUGUUAAAAUACAACGUGUGCCUGAUCUGAACCCAUGAAGGGACGUUUAGGAAACGUUGUGGAGUGCUUGUCAUGUGACUAUCACAGGCUACGGCUUCCCCAAAAUGGCAGCGUGUCAGUUCAUGUAAAACAAACUAGUGGUUGUCAUCUGGCUAUCCCUGGACAUGGCGUCCCCAAAAUGGCAGUGUGUCAGGGGUCAAGGGGCAAGAACGUAUCAAUAGGAGAAGAGUGGCUGAUGCAGCAUUCAGAGACGGGCUGACUCCAGACAGAUCGAUGACAUCCCUGUCUGCCAUUGAAAUGAAGGCCCAGCUGGAAGCAAUGACUUUUCAAUGUGCUGUUAGGGCAGCUGGACAGGGGAGUGCUGAGACAGCAUGAGUCUAACCAACGAUGCUUUGCUGGGUUUCAAAGGUGAGAGAGAUGAGAGAGUCACGGUUCUUAAAAUGAUCUCAAGCAACGCCCAUCACAGUGUUAAUCUUGUCAGAACUAUUAAGGAGUUGAGCUAAUGUAAACAUACUGUACGUCCUACAUAGAGACAGACAACCAUUCACACUCAACUGAAACACUAGACCCACGGUAUUCAACUAAAAUCCAAAUAGGUCCGCAAACAGAAAAUGUCAAGCUAAGGUCCGGUCCGAACGACUGAUCUACUGGGUCAGGAUUUUUGUGGAUUGCUCAUAUA
Long non-coding RNA from Dunckerocampus dactyliophorus (ringed pipefish), 937 nucleotides. RefSeq lists it as uncharacterized. NCBI's taxonomy places the organism in Eukaryota, Metazoa, Chordata, Actinopteri, Syngnathiformes, Syngnathidae. The transcript has 4 exons. The record is from RefSeq and is a predicted model, not a curated record.